CGGACUCCAAGUUCUAUUCAGUUUCCACUCAGAACCAACCACAAAACGGAUUCCACCUAUUGCCGAGUUCUACUCGGUUUCCUUCUUUUUUUAUCACGUUGGUGGAACUCAGAUUGGAACUCUACUCGAUACGGACCAAGACCUCAGUUCAAUUCGGACUUCGCAACAGAUUCGAUAGAGAGAAGAUAUGGUAAUACUUGGCUGUGUAUAGAUGGUGACAAGAACUCGAAACUCUAAAGGACUAGACACUAAGACUAGCAACUCGACACAAACCGAAGCAACGCAAAUUCAACAAGCCCUAACUAAAACGGUACUAGCCAAGGCACAAGGGUUUAAUAGGAUUAUGGAAAAACUAAUCUACUAUUUUUUUUGGCUUUUCUAGACUAUAGAAAAUUAAUUAAAAACAGCAAAGGAUUAGAAGUCUCUCACCGAAGAACCUUGCUCUGAUUACCAACUGAUGCGAACCCGCUAGGGUUUUUGCCCGAUCAUUUGAUGAGAGACAGGGAUAACUCGAUUGGUGGAUGGAGAUGACGUUCACGGCCCGACUACAGCCCUCAAGACCGCGCCUUAGCAACCGAUACACCACGUCCAAUAGCCGUCACGAUCUAGUGGAGCGCGACAACCAGCCCCUAGGGCUCCCAUCCUGCAAGCAAUCGAAGAACUAGCAAAAACGAGGAAACAAGCACUGAAUUUGCAAGAUGAAUUGAAGGUUUCAAACUGAAUCUGAAUCAACAAUGGGGUUCCGAAGACAAGGAGAGGGGCGGCUGAUCCUGCACGCGUGCCUACAAGCAAGUAGCGAAGGCUAAACUUGAUCUAAACAAAACCCAACGACCAUGGUGACUCUAGAGGGAUAUAAGUAGAUGGAUUGACGACCAAAGAGGUGUUGGGGUUGUCCUCCAACCCUAGGACGCGUCCCUAAUGGACCCAACUUGAUACAUGGGCCAUCAGCCCAAAAUGAGGUGACGCAGCACCCUGGACAGCAAGACCUAUC
This 991-nucleotide long non-coding RNA is filed under the name Sorghum bicolor (sorghum). RNAcentral describes it as "long non-coding RNA (SBIC_LNC018488)". Lineage: Eukaryota; Viridiplantae; Streptophyta; Magnoliopsida; Poales; Poaceae. The record is from RNAcentral.